UCCUAGAAAUAAAUUUCUAACAGACUGGUCACUAUAUAUGCAAUAAGCUUCCAAAUUAAUAACAAACAAAAGAAAUUAUUUGUUUAAGAAAAACCAAAUCACUAGACCAUAUAAUGCAACAAAUUCUCUUAAUCAAUUUAAUUGGCCAUCUAAUCAGCUACGAUAAUUUCUUAUUAAAAUCGUCUUGUUCUACAUUUUACAUACUUUCACCUCAACAGUUAUACUAC
RNAcentral lists this long non-coding RNA (227 nucleotides) under Erythranthe guttata (spotted monkey flower). RNAcentral's name for it is "long non-coding RNA (EGUT_LNC002643)". Lineage: Eukaryota; Viridiplantae; Streptophyta; Magnoliopsida; Lamiales; Phrymaceae. The record is from RNAcentral.